AGUGAACGCUGGCGGUAGGCCUAACACAUGCAAGUCGAACGGCAGCACAGUAAGAGUUUGCCCUUACGGGUGGCGAGUGGCGGACGGGUGAGGAAUACAUCGGAAUCUACUUUUUCGUGGGGGACAACGUAGGGAAACUUACGCUAAUACCGCAUACGACCUACGGGUGAAAGCAGGGGAUCUUCGGACUUUGCGCGAUUGAAUGAGCCGAUGUCGGAUUAGCUAGUUGGCGGGGUAAAGGUCCACCAAGGCGACGAUCCGUAGCUGGUCUGAGAGGAUGAUCAGCCACACUGGAACUGAGACACGGUCCAGACUCCUACGGGAGGCAGCAGUGGGGAAUAUUGGACAAUGGGCGCAAGCCUGAUCCAGCCAUACCGCGUGAGUGAAGAAGGCCUUCGGGUUGUAAAGCCCUUUUAUUGGGAAAGAAAAGCAGCAGAUUAAUACCCCGCUGUUCUGACGGUACCCAAACAAUAAGCACCGGCUAACUUCGUG
RNAcentral lists this ribosomal RNA (492 nucleotides) under uncultured bacterium. RNAcentral describes it as "partial 16S ribosomal RNA". It matches the Rfam family "Bacterial small subunit ribosomal RNA", at positions 29 to 507 of the family's 1533-position model. The record is from RNAcentral.